RNAcentral lists this transfer RNA (77 nucleotides) under Deltaproteobacteria bacterium. RNAcentral's name for it is "tRNA-Gly". It matches the Rfam family "tRNA". From Rfam's summary of the family: Transfer RNA (tRNA) molecules are approximately 80 nucleotides in length. Their secondary structure includes four short double-helical elements and three loops (D, anti-codon, and T loops). Lineage: Bacteria; Pseudomonadati; Myxococcota; Myxococcia. The record is from RNAcentral. RNAcentral also lists the same sequence under 1 other name.
GCGGGAGUAGCUCAGUCGGCUAGAGCAUCAGCCUUCCAAGCUGAGGGUCGCGGGUUCGAGACCCGUCUCCCGCUCCA